Non-coding RNA from Zootermopsis nevadensis, 1486 nucleotides. The record is from RefSeq and is a predicted model, not a curated record. Lineage: Eukaryota; Metazoa; Arthropoda; Insecta; Blattodea; Termopsidae.
GCAACAGGCCGGUCUGUCGUGUCGUGUUCUAGCCGGAACAGCUGAUAUUUCUAUAUCGCUCGGUAGAAUGAAAAAGAGUUCCAGUUGUUGAUAAAAUGUAACAGUGUGUGAGUGUGGUUUAGUUCCGGGAGAUAUUAUUGUCUUCUGCGAAAAAAGGGUUUGUAUACGGUGGAAUGAUGCCCGGACAAAACAAGGAAUUGUCUACGAUCUAUGGUUCCCAAGUUGGCAAGACUGAGAGCUUUGAGGUUAUGGCUGACAUGAGAAAUGGCAAUGUUAGCAUGGGGAGUAGCGGCAGCUUACCGGUCUACCGAGAGCAUUACUGCAUCUGCACGCCGAAAACGCAGCUCGAGAAGACGCUUAUCAUCGUAGUCGUGGUGCUGGCUCUGAUAACCGUCGUCCUCAUCAUCGUGAUCUCCGUUCUGGCAGGAGACAAGGAAAAAGCUCGAAGUCUCAGGGAAGUCGUUCAGGCACUUUCGCCAAAAAUAUGAUAUUUUCUCUGCCUUGUCUCCAAGAUGAAGAAUGAACAGUCUCUUUCUCACACCAAGCUCUACAGCAAAACAGACGCGAAGAACACGCCACUUUCAGAUUUAUACUUCCAUGAGUGACGCAUUUAGAAUAUGAAAUAUUCGAAUGUGACACGAAAAGUGAUGGAUGAUGGUCCACCGAUUUAGACAUUUCAGUGCUCAAGAAUCUGGUGUAUUCAUCGUCCGUGGUUUUCAUAAUAACUCAUUUCAAGGUUAGGGUAUAAACUUAGUCCAAACACAUCGUAAUUUUUUUUUUUUUGGACAAAUUAGUUUCAGUGUAAUUUACGGAAGGGGCUUUCGAUAACCAAAAACUUAAAUGACUCCUCAGUCACGAAAAUACUUGCUAAGAUUUCAUGUUCUUACGAUGAACAUCGUCUUCUGGAGUCUUGCGUCUUGUAGUCUGGUACACGUUUACCAACGUUCCAGAAGUAAAUUCCCACCAGACUACAAGCUGCAAUGACCCACAGGCAUCUUCACGAGUUCUUCUAUUUUGGGGGGGGGCAUUUUUUACAAAUGUCACGUUUCUGAUGGAGCAGACAGCUCUCAAAUUGUCCACCAAUUACGCAGACUGACGUCAGUAGCUGGUCUACAGCUUACGUAACGAAAAACGUUAAUUAAAUUAAAAUUGAUUCAAGUUAAUAAGAACGACACAGAAAUUCAUAAAACAGACUUUAAAUAAAAUUUAAAUCAUACUCUGCUAGUUCCUGAGACUUAUCUUAGGUUCCAUUACAUUAGCACAGAACCUACAUUAUGAUACCGAACACUCCUGCUUCGUAUUAGGAAGAUCCGGGGUUCAAAUCUCGGUCCACUGGCCGACUAUCCUGACCGGGUUUUCCUCAGUUCUGGGAUAGGUUACGGCCGCUUCCUUCCACAUCCUUUCCAAUUCACGAUCUUCCGCUCAUUUUACGCUAUAUAGUCUGAAGUAAUUAAAAAGCGUCGUUAAAUAAAUUACGAUAAGGCCU